UAUAUAGUGGAGUAAUAGGUAACUCAAAGGGCUCAUGCCCCUUAGCUGUUGGUUCGAAUCCAGCCUAUGUUU
This 72-nucleotide transfer RNA is filed under the name Paramoeba pemaquidensis. RNAcentral describes it as "tRNA-Met". It matches the Rfam family "tRNA". Rfam says of the family: Transfer RNA (tRNA) molecules are approximately 80 nucleotides in length. Their secondary structure includes four short double-helical elements and three loops (D, anti-codon, and T loops). Further hydrogen bonds mediate the characteristic L-shaped molecular structure. tRNAs have two regions of fundamental functional importance: the anti-codon, which is responsible for specific mRNA codon recognition, and the 3' end, to which the tRNAs corresponding amino acid is attached (by aminoacyl-tRNA synthetases). tRNAs cope with the degeneracy of the genetic code in two manners: having more than one tRNA (with a specific anti-codon) for a particular amino acid; and 'wobble' base-pairing, i.e. permitting non-standard base-pairing at the 3rd anti-codon position. The record is from RNAcentral. Lineage: Eukaryota; Discosea; Flabellinia; Dactylopodida; Paramoebidae.